GAUGAACGCUGGCGGCGUGCCUAAUACAUGCAAGUCGAGCGAACAGAUGAGGAGCUUGCUCCUCUGACGUUAGCGGCGGACGGGUGAGUAACACGUGGAUAACCUACCUAUAAGACUGGGAUAACUUCGGGAAACCGGAGCUAAUACCGGAUAAUAUAUUGAACCGCAUGGUUCAAUAGUGAAAGACGGUUUUGCUGUCACUUAUAGACGGAUCCGCGCCGCAUUAGCUAGUUGGUAAGGUAACGGCUUACCAAGGCAACGAUGCGUAGCCGACCUGAGAGGGUGAUCGGCCACACUGGAACUGAGACACGGUCCAGACUCCUACGGGAGGCAGCAGUAGGGAAUCGUCCGCAAUGGGCGAAAGCCUGACGGAGCAACGCCGCGUGAGUGAUGAAGGUCUGCGGAUCGUAAAACUCUGUUAUUAGGGAAGAACAAAUGUGUAAGUAACUAUGCACGUCUUGACGGUACCUAAUCAGAAAGCCACGGCUAACUACGUG
This 497-nucleotide ribosomal RNA is filed under the name uncultured bacterium. Its description in RNAcentral is "partial 16S ribosomal RNA". It matches the Rfam family "Bacterial small subunit ribosomal RNA", at positions 28 to 507 of the family's 1533-position model. The record is from RNAcentral.